GAAUAGAUAAAAGUAGGUAAGCUUUAAAAUACCUUCAACUUCCAUUGAAAUAUUAAAAGUAAAUCCUUAAAAGGAUUAAAAAAAGUCUUCCCACUCUGUCCAGAUUGAAUUCUGAAGUGGCUGCAAUUUAAAUACUUAGAAAUAUGCUACAAUGUGUGUUGAAUGUCUUUAACUUUACUAGCUUCAAAAUAUACUACAAAUUGAAAUACUAGUCUAAAGAAAAAAAGAUUUUCAAAAAUCUAAUAGUAAGCAUUUAAAUAUUGCUAGUAUACACUUGCAAUACUGGACUUAGAGAACAGAUUAAAGAUCAAAUAUUAGUUUAUGAUUCUUUAUCCCUUGCUGUUGCCAAAAUGAGUAUCAACUACCAGCUAUAAAAAUUUCAGCUUGCACCCCACAGCUCUGUCAUAGACGUUCAGCUCAAAUCAGUACAGUGCAUUCAAAAAGCCAGCAUAAAAUAAUUAAACUUUAUUAGAAAGGACACUUAAAAUGUAACCUUUUUCCAUUAAGUCUAAGAACCUAAAGGUGAGCAGGUGUUUACAUAAAACAUUAGCUGUUCUUUGCAUUUUUAAGUCUCAAAUUUGUAUCGAAAAAUCUUUUGUACAGCAGUUCCCAAACAGUGAAAUUUCUAAAUUCUACACUGUGCACACAUCUGAAAUUUUCACCAGUAAAAGGAGACAAGUGGUAAGCUCCUACAUUAGAUGUGGCUAGAUAUCUAGUAGUCUGAAGGUUAGAGCUAUGCAGAAAGUUCAGGACAGCAGGGAAUGAACAAUAAGGCUUACAACUGAAUUAUGCAGUAAUAACCUGUAUAGAUGAAUGCUUAAUAACUUCUACUGAUUUACAAACAUUUCCAUCAACCAGAAUAGUAAGGUUUAAGACGAAGAUUUAGAAUCUGUAGAAUCUGGAUACAAAAGUAACAAAUCUGCAUAAAUUCCACUAGUGUACAAAAGAUUUAGAAAACUAUGUAUGUGGUAAAAAUAAUCAUGUACAACGGCCUAUUCUUGUGGUGAGUUAUACACUCUCAGCUUAAAUUCCUUUAUCUAUGCAUGAAGCAUUUAAAAACAAGACACCUGACCCUGAUGUAAUCAACCUAGCUUCUGUUUAUCUCACUGGAAAUGAAUUCUGCUCUGUUGAUGUCCAUUUACGUAAUCUUAAACUCACCACUUAUGAUAGGUCAAAUCUUUUGGCCCUGGAGAUGCUGAUUUGUCUCCUACUGUGCAGGGAGUAUAGGAUGACUAGCUCAAUUUGGCAUCUUGAAGUUAAGUGAUAUUUAUCAUAUUUUUUUAUCUUACCAAUUCAAGCCAUUUAACUGUAUUAUCUAGCUUUUGGUACUGAAGGGCAAACAGUAUUUGAAUAAAAUAUUGGAAAAUACAAACUUCAGUGUUCUCUGAAUCAUCCCCAAUUGUUUUUUGUCUUUUUUAUUUAAUUUACCACCUAAAAGCAGUAUCAAAGAGUACGUUUAAGAAACACUGUCUCUGAGCCCGUGCUUGUAGGCAUUAAUAGAGAAUCUGUGGAAUGCACAGUGCAAUUGACUGGUAAAAUAAAUCUGGAGAAGAAAAACUUAAAUUCACCUACCUAUCUCCUUUGCUGAUUUGAAUAAUUAAUUACAGAUUAAUCCCCUACCUUCAUGUAACUUUGCCAUCAUUUCAAAAACUUGGUGUGUGUUCUUCCGACAGAUAUCUACUGGAUCAUCCAUGAGCUCAGCGAGGGCAGAAACUUCUUUAUUGCAUCCCGCAAUAUUCAGUAAAUUCUGGAAUUAUACCUACCUGCCGACAUUAUGCAUUGCCAUUAUACAGAGGAUUUCUGUUGUUUUUUGUCGUACAGUACUGUCAUGAUGCAGCAGCAAAUUCUUCAGGUUCUCCACGAAUCCUUUGAGACACAGUAGUUGAUUUUAGUAUUUCUUACCUUCAGCAUUAGUUUAAAAGAGCAGCACUUGUUUUUACCUCACAAUUUAAGUGCAAGCAAUCAGAAAUUUCAUCUUGUUCUGUAGGUGAAACUCUCAAUGUCGUACUACAAGUACAGCAGAAACUUAAAGACCUACUGUCAAAAUGCCAUGCCAUCAAUCCUCAACGAUCUUAAUAUUAAAAUGUAUAUAACUACCCCCAAAUAACUGGCUGAUUUGACAGCUAGUGAGGAUAGAAGAAAGUUCCCACUGACUUAAUUUUGUGUUGGAUAAUGCUGCGAACCACCUGGGGGUGGCGGAAAGGAGGAGGGCUACCAAUUCUUCUCUGCUCCACAAUAACUAAAAACUUUUUUCCUCUUUCUGAAUAUUUUUUAUAUUUUAUUUGAUCUAUCUUAAAAUUUAGCUAGACAACAAGAAAAAAGGUUCAGUGAUUCUGCACUACUUUUGUAUUUGGGGAGUAAUAGACCCUGUGGUGAGCAUCUGAUAAAUUCUAAAGUGAGUAUACUCUUAAAAUAGCUGUUAUAUGGUAUUAUAACAUGCUUUACCUUUUAAAGUAAAAUAAGCAAGAAAUCAAACCCCCAAAACUUUCAUGGCUUUUUUCUGUCAUCAAAGAUAUCGCAGGGAAAAAAAUAGGGCACAAGAGUAAAGUGUCCCUCCCCUCAGCCAUCACCACCAUGUCAAAGCUUCCGAUACCAGACCACUUACCUAUUUGUAUUGCCUGGUAGACUUUUUCUGGGUCAUGGACCAAAUCACAGAGUGCCAUCAAUGCCCGCUGCUGAGUCAGCAGCUCAGGAGAUUGGAUCUCCUCGUUCAG
Anas platyrhynchos (mallard) is the source of this 2714-nucleotide non-coding RNA. The record is from RefSeq and is a predicted model, not a curated record. Lineage: Eukaryota; Metazoa; Chordata; Aves; Anseriformes; Anatidae.